Molecule: long non-coding RNA, 690 nt
Organism: Theobroma cacao (cacao)
Lineage: Eukaryota; Viridiplantae; Streptophyta; Magnoliopsida; Malvales; Malvaceae
Source: RefSeq, a predicted model, not a curated record
GAUGUUUGCUUCUUUUAGAACCAAAUUUCCAGAGUCCAACAACUGUGCAACAGGGUUGUCACCCUUUGUUAUGUUUGAUGACCAUACAAGAUUCUGUCCUUGGUCAAGAAGAACGAUGUUUCGAUCCUCCAGCUUGAAAAUACCUGACGAGUUCGCGAGUGGUUUGUCUCUGUUGGCAAUCCACACGUAUGUUCUGACAGGAAUGUUCUUGUACCAUAUCCCCACGUACCAUUCACCUGGAUUUUCCAGGGUGAAGAACCCAAACUCGAAAACAUCACCUGGGGAGACGAGAGUUUGGUUAUUUAUGAUAGACUGAGUAGCAGUUAAGGUGUCAAUGGAGAAGGAAAUUGUUGGGAAGAUAGCUAGGAAAGCGAAGAACAAGAAGAAGCUACAAAAAUGGUGAUUUCUUAUAGUUCCCAUUCUUCACUUACUCUGGCUCUAGGAGUUCCUCUCUCAAACUGGUGGAGCUGGUUUGUUCAUUUUGAAGACAUUUGGAAUGUGCUCUACGGCUCUCCUCUUUCCCUGGUAUUCUCUGUUGGGAAUGGGCAUUUCACAUUUCACAAAGAAAACGAACGGUUUCACACGCGGAAUGGUGCUGGGCUUGGAUAUGGCCCUCGGAAAGGGACACUUCUUGGACAGAGCUGGACCCUCCCACCAAACUAGUGAGCGUGCCUUUUGAGUCUUGGACGG